RNAcentral lists this ribosomal RNA (397 nucleotides) under uncultured bacterium. RNAcentral describes it as "bacterial SSU rRNA". It matches the Rfam family "Bacterial small subunit ribosomal RNA", at positions 355 to 769 of the family's 1533-position model. The record is from RNAcentral.
UGGGGAAUCUUGCACAAUGGGGGCAACCCUGAUGCAGCGACGCCGCGUGAGCGAUGAAGCCCUUCGGGGCGUAAAGCUCUUUCGACCGGAACGAUAAUGACGGUACCGGGAGAAGAAGCUGCGGCUAACUACGUGCCAGCAGCCGCGGUAAUACGUAGGCAGCAAGCGUUGUUCGGAGUUACUGGGCGUAAAGAGUGCGUAGGCGGUUUUCUAAGUUCAGUGUGAAAUCUCCCGUCUUAACUGGGAGGGUGCGCCGAAGACUGGGAAGCGAGAGUGUGGGAAAGGCAGGCGGAAUUCCUGGUGUAGCGGUGAAAUGCGUAGAUAUCAGGAGGAACACCGGCGGUGUAGACGGCUUGCUAGACCAUAACUGACGCUGAGGCACGAAAGCGUGGGUAGC